RNAcentral lists this ribosomal RNA (356 nucleotides) under Clostridioides difficile. RNAcentral's name for it is "bacterial LSU rRNA". It matches the Rfam family "Bacterial large subunit ribosomal RNA", at positions 2497 to 2855 of the family's 2925-position model. The record is from RNAcentral. Lineage: Bacteria; Bacillati; Bacillota; Clostridia; Peptostreptococcales; Peptostreptococcaceae.
AGUCCACAUCGACGGGGAGGUUUGGCACCUCGAUGUCGGCUCAUCACAUCCUGGGGCUGUAGUAGGUCCCAAGGGUUGGGCUGUUCGCCCAUUAAAGUGGUACGCGGGCUGGGUUCAGAACGUCGUGGGACAGUUCGGUCCCUAUCCGUCGCAGGCGUAGGAAAUUUGAGAAGACCUGUCCUUAGUACGAGAGGACCGGGAUGGACGUACCUCUGGUGUACCAGUUGUUCUGCCAAGGGCAUGGCUGGGUAGCUAUGUACGGAAUGGAUAAGCGCUGAAAGCAUCUAAGCGCGAAGCCAACUUCAAGAUAAGAUUUCCCACCGCAAGGGUAAGACCCCAGAAAGACUAUCUGGUUG